ACCCCGGCACAGCUGUAUCGCUGGAAGUGGGGUCUGCAGUGCUGAUGGUGGCGGUUGGAGUGCUUGGAGUCCUCAGCGAGCACUAGGCGCAUCGAUUGGCGGAGGUACUCAGUUGGAGUGCCAGUGUUCCGUCACAAACACUUUUACUGACACUAUCACUGACACUAACACUAUUACUGACACUAAUACUAUUACUGACACUAACACUAUCACUGAC
Pelobates cultripes (western spadefoot toad) is the source of this 217-nucleotide non-coding RNA. Lineage: Eukaryota; Metazoa; Chordata; Amphibia; Anura; Pelobatidae. The record is from the annotation of a GenBank genome assembly.